UACGUAGGGGGCAAGCGUUGUCCGGAAUUACUGGGCGUAAAGCGCACGUAGGCGGCUUGGUAUGUCGGGUGUGAAAUCCCCGGGCUCAACCUGGGAACUGCAUCCGAAACUGCCUUGCUAGAGUAUGGGAGAGGGAAGUGGAAUUUCCGGUGUAGCGGUGAAAUGCGUAGAUAUCGGAAGGAACAUCAGUGGCGAAAGCGACUUCCUGGACCAAUACUGACGCUCAUGUGCGAAAGCGUGGGGAGCAAACAGG
This 253-nucleotide ribosomal RNA is filed under the name uncultured bacterium. RNAcentral describes it as "partial 16S ribosomal RNA". It matches the Rfam family "Bacterial small subunit ribosomal RNA", at positions 524 to 776 of the family's 1533-position model. The record is from RNAcentral.